This is a non-coding RNA of Megalops atlanticus (tarpon), 70 nucleotides long. NCBI's taxonomy places the organism in Eukaryota, Metazoa, Chordata, Actinopteri, Elopiformes, Megalopidae. The record is from the annotation of a GenBank genome assembly.
GGCAUUGUAGCAUAGUGGUAGUGAGCAGGGCUUGUAACUGAAAGGUUGCUAGUUCGAUUCCCCAUUGCCG